UGAAGUCCGAGCCGGAAGGAACCCCCCUAUCCGCCAGGGUCAGGGCACCGCAUCGUGGGUCCCGCGCCGCUCAGGCCAAUCGGUGGGUACCGGCUGCCCCUGGCUGCUCGGCUGACAGUCUGGGUCCCCGGCUGGCGCCGUCCCCUGGUGCAACCGCUGCGCUCCCCGCGGUCCGCGCAGUCUGGCCGCGUUCGGGGCCACUCCUCUCAGCGCUGAAGCUUUACAAAAUAUUAAUAAUAAGGCAAGAGAGAAA
Molecule: long non-coding RNA, 253 nt
Organism: Phyllostomus discolor (pale spear-nosed bat)
Lineage: Eukaryota; Metazoa; Chordata; Mammalia; Chiroptera; Phyllostomidae
Exons: 3
Source: RefSeq, a predicted model, not a curated record